UGUCCAAGAUCGCCCCCCGUCAGCGAGUUUCGCCCACGGGGGCCUUGGU
RNAcentral lists this small RNA (49 nucleotides) under marine eukaryotic metagenome. Its description in RNAcentral is "ffh sRNA". It matches the Rfam family "ffh sRNA". The record is from RNAcentral.